UUCACAGAGAUUCACCUGCCUCUGCCUCGAAAGUGUUAGGAUUAAAGGUGUGUGCCACUAUGCCUGGAUGUUUUCUUAAUCAUAUCUGCAAGAGAACACCUUUGCCAUGAGAGUGAAUGUUCACAAGGAUGAGGUAGAAGAUAUCAAGAGCAUAUGAUUUAGAGUACGAAACUCGGGAGGACAAACAAAUGUAAAGAUAUGGAGGUAGAGGCUGGAGAGAUGGCUCAGCAGUUAAGAGUGUGUACUGCUCUUGCAGAGAACCUGAGUUCCCACAUCCAAACUGGGCAGAUGGAGCUCCAGGUCAUUUGACGCCCUCUUGUGGCCUCUUUAGGCAACUGCAAGCAUAUGUUCAUAUUGCAACACAGACAUACAUGCAUAAGCAUAACUACAAAAAUAAAAGUAAACCUUAAAAAAACCUCAAAGUUGGGCAACUUUCACUCUGUAGCACAAUGUGCCUAUGCUACACAGAAGGGAACUUCAUUAUAUUCGGUUUAAACUGAGUUUAUAUUCCUAGAUGGGUAAUGGACUCCUUGAUGCUAUUUUUCUUGUAACUUUUUUUUAAGUUAACCACCCAAACCUUCUUUUCUUCAUUUGUAAAUCAACAAUGAUAAAGGUGUCUGAUUUCACAGUGUGACUCUCUAAAGCACUUGGUGUACUAAACCACAUUCAGUAAACCCUAGAGAGUCAUAUGACCAGUCAUCCUAGAGAAUCACAUGACCAGUCAUCUCAUUUCUACCCCGGCUGGUGGAACUCUGGGUAGAUGCUAUGCAAACCCAAAGAGAAACACCUGGUUCUUCCAUGGAAAGGUGUAAAGAGAGGCAAGAAUUUUGCCAGAGUGAAAGGGGCAUAGAUGGAUGUGUUUCAGCUCACAGGGUGAACAGUUAAGAGUGCUAUAGACAAUACAGAUCUGUUCAGCCAGUGCUGCUGCAUGCUCAGUUUCAGCAGGUCCUCUAGUGACAGCAUUUUGCCAUAUGCCUGAGUAUGGGAGUGUGUUUAUUCACUUCCAGUACGUAACAUGGGAAGAGAAGGUUCCCAUGUCACAGGUAACCCUUGUUUCUGAUUUCCAUUUCUGCUCCUUUCCGCUAUUCUAGGUUCAUUCUCAUUGUUCUUGGAACUGGAAGCUUGCAUUGACUUACGGUUCCCCCAACAUUGCCAUGGCAGCAUGCUGUUCAGGGAGUCUCCUGGCCACUACUUUUCACUUUAUACAUUGGAUGUAUCUUGCCCCUGCAGCAGGACUUCAGGAUCCUGAAAGAUGCUGUAGUCACCACUGGAAAACUGGAAGUGAGGUCAAGUCUGGAGAAACAGUGCUGGAAAAAGACUCCAGCCUUGGUGUCGAGCUCUGUGGCUGGGAGCAAC
Rattus rattus (black rat) is the source of this 1356-nucleotide long non-coding RNA. RefSeq lists it as uncharacterized. The record is from RefSeq and is a predicted model, not a curated record. NCBI's taxonomy places the organism in Eukaryota, Metazoa, Chordata, Mammalia, Rodentia, Muridae. The transcript has 3 exons.